RNAcentral lists this unclassified non-coding RNA (270 nucleotides) under Hevea brasiliensis (rubber tree). Lineage: Eukaryota; Viridiplantae; Streptophyta; Magnoliopsida; Malpighiales; Euphorbiaceae. The record is from RNAcentral.
GGAGAUGAGUAAUUAAGGCUAGGCUCAGUGCAGGGUAAGAAAUCACGAUUCGAAGGAGGAUUCCAAAGAUCGUCCAAAGCUGAGGUCUUGUGAAAAAGACGAGGAGCUUUGGACCAACGAAGCGGUGCAAGCUCUUGUGUCACGCUUUGCUCUGGAACCAGUCUUUGAAAUUUUAAUUCACGUUGCUUAGGGAGUUUGUAAGAUCGAGAGAAGAUCGGAACGUCUCUGGACGAAGGAAAGACCUGGACGGGAACGGAUAACACAGCAACU